GGAUAUAGCUCAGUUGGUAGAGUACUUGCCUCUGCAUGCACAAGGCCCUGGGUUCAAUCCCCAGCACCA
RNAcentral lists this transfer RNA (69 nucleotides) under Marmota monax (woodchuck). RNAcentral's name for it is "tRNA.Undet". The record is from RNAcentral. Lineage: Eukaryota; Metazoa; Chordata; Mammalia; Rodentia; Sciuridae.